AGAACGAACGCUGGCGGCAUGCCUAAUACAUGCAAGUCGAACGAACACUUCGGUGUUAGUGGCGCACGGGUGCGUAACGCGUGGGAAUCUGCCCUUGGGUUCGGAAUAACAGUUGGAAACGACUGCUAAUACCGGAUGAUAUCGAAAGAUCGAAGAUUUAUCGCCCAGGGAUGAGCCCGCGUAGGAUUAGCUAGUUGGUGAGGUAAAGGCUCACCAAGGCGACGAUCCUUAGCUGGUCUGAGAGGAUGAUCAGCCACACUGGGACUGAGACACGGCCCAGACUCCUACGGGAGGCAGCAGUAGGGAAUAUUGGACAAUGGGCGCAAGCCUGAUCCAGCAAUGCCGCGUGAGUGAUGAAGGCCUUAGGGUUGUAAAGCUCUUUUACCCGAGAUGAUAAUGACAGUAUCGGAGAAUAAGCCCCGCUAACUCCGUGCCAGCAGCCGC
This 444-nucleotide ribosomal RNA is filed under the name uncultured soil bacterium. Its description in RNAcentral is "bacterial SSU rRNA". It matches the Rfam family "Bacterial small subunit ribosomal RNA", at positions 26 to 518 of the family's 1533-position model. The record is from RNAcentral.